Labrus bergylta (ballan wrasse) is the source of this 818-nucleotide non-coding RNA. The record is from RefSeq and is a predicted model, not a curated record. Lineage: Eukaryota; Metazoa; Chordata; Actinopteri; Labriformes; Labridae.
CAAGCGCCGCAAAUGGCCCUCGGGCCGCACUUUGGACACCCCUGGUCUAAAAGGAGUGCCAAUGUAACCGGUUGUGUUUCUCUGCUGGAGUAUGGAGGGUUUGUGUCUGUCUCAUUUGUUUAUGCCACGAGGAAGCAGCUAACUGGAAAAGGAGAUUAAUAACGGACUCGUUCUCUCUGCCUGCUCGCUCUGGAGUCCGGAGCAUUUACCAGACGUGGGAAAUUCAGAUUUAGGAGCGGCUCACUUCACCAGGUAAACUCGAGGAGCGGCUGGCUUGACCGCAGUUGCAGAGCCGAAGUGAAGUGUCGGGAAAGGAAAAGACGGUUCAAACCAUCCGUGCCUUCUUUAAGCCGGCUUCAGAGGAAUACCUAGAGUGUUGCUUCAUGCAGUUCACGGACACAUGGCUGAAUGACCUCACUCGUAGAUGCUGCGUGAUUGGAGGGGCAGUGUUAGACAGGUUUAUACCUGUAAACAGCCAGAUCACUUUAGCUUGUCACUCAUUUCACAGAAUGGGGCCCCUCGUGCUUCUCUUCUUUUCUCUGCUGCAUUUAUGUGCGACACAAGUGACUCCUGUGUUUGUGAAGACAGGAACAGAUUUACUUCUGGAUGUGAAGGAACCUGUUGUUCUGAAUGAGACAGAUUUAUUUACAUGGAAGGUCAAUGGCAGUGUUAAUGUUGUGAGACUAAUUAAUGGUAACCUAACCAUUUCCCCAAAUUAUACAUCUAGAGCAGAAUUGUCUGCACAAAAUCACUCUCUACUGUUAAAGAACGUACAAAAGGAGGACAGUGGAGUUUACAGAGCACAUGUUGCUGCUGAG